This is a non-coding RNA of Vicia faba (fava bean), 423 nucleotides long. Lineage: Eukaryota; Viridiplantae; Streptophyta; Magnoliopsida; Fabales; Fabaceae. The record is from the annotation of a GenBank genome assembly.
GUAAAUUCGGAGGAGGAUUCUCUGACUUUUGAGUGGGAACUACCCUCUGCCUUUUUCUCUAUCUCUCACAAAAAAUGCAAUAUCUCUCCUAUUAUUUCCCUCCUUUUAUUCAUCUAUUUCUCAAUUCUCUGUCAUGAAAAUUUCCUGAAGUUAGAGAAAAUUGGGAAAUGCAAAGUUAGAGGAUCUGGUUCCAGCAAAUUCAUAGAGCUCUUGCUAGUUUCUAUUUUUCUAUCCACCAGCAAAUUGUUUUCUUCAAGAAACCCUUUUUCUUAUACUUUCUCAAAAUCAAACCCAUUCCUUUUCGUGGUCAAAACUUCAUCCAAAGAAGAGUAUGAGGUAGGGAUGCUAUGGAUCCUGGUAGAUCAACUGACAAGACUUGCCACCAUGUUUCUUCUGCUCUUCAUUUUAUUUUCAGAUAAAUAG